This 492-nucleotide ribosomal RNA is filed under the name uncultured bacterium. RNAcentral's name for it is "partial 16S ribosomal RNA". It matches the Rfam family "Bacterial small subunit ribosomal RNA", at positions 29 to 507 of the family's 1533-position model. The record is from RNAcentral.
AGUGAACGCUGGCGGUAGGCCUAACACAUGCAAGUCGAACGGCAGCACAGUAAGAGCUUGCUCUUACGGGUGGCGAGUGGCGGACGGGUGAGGAAUACAUCGGAAUCUACUUUUUCGUGGGGGAUAACGUAGGGAAACUUACUCUAAUACCGCAUACGACCUACGGGUGAAAGCAGUGGAUCUUCGGACCUUGCGCGAUUGAAUGAGCCGAUGUCGGAUUAGCUAGUUGGCGGGGUAAAGGCCCACCAAGGCGACGAUCCGUAGCUGGUCUGAGAGGAUGAUCAGCCGCCCUGGAACUGAGACGCGGUCCAGACUCCUACGGGAGGCAGCAGUGGGGAAUAUUGGACAAUGGGCGGAAGCCUGAUCCAGCCAUACCGCGUGGGUGAAGAAGGCCUUCGGGUUGUAAAGCCCUUUUGUUGGGAAAGAAAAGCAGCAGGUUAAUACCCCGCUGUUCUGACGGUACCCAAAGAAUAAGCACCGGCUAACUUCGUG